GAUCCUGGCUCAGGACGAACGCUGGCGGCGUGCUUAACACAUGCAAGUCGAACGAGAAUCUGCGGAACGAGGAUUCGUCCAAGUGAAGCAGAGGACAGUGGCGGACGGGUGAGUAACGCGUGAGGAACCUGCCUUUCAGAGGGGGACAACAGUUGGAAACGACUGCUAAUACCGCAUGACACAUAAGUGUCGCAUGGCAUUUAUGUCAAAGAUUUAUCG
RNAcentral lists this ribosomal RNA (219 nucleotides) under uncultured bacterium. RNAcentral describes it as "partial 16S ribosomal RNA". It matches the Rfam family "Bacterial small subunit ribosomal RNA", at positions 15 to 217 of the family's 1533-position model. The record is from RNAcentral.